AGUAGUCACGAGUUUGAUCCUGGCUCAGAACGAACGCUGGCGGCAUGCCUAACACAUGCAAGUCGAACGAACCCUUCGGGGUUAGUGGCGCACGGGUGCGUAACGCGUGGGAACCUACCAUCAGGUUCGGAAUAACAGUUAGAAAUGACUGCUAAUACCGGAUAAUGUCUUCGGACCAAAGAUUUAUCGCCUUUUGAUGGGCCCGCGUAAGAUUAGGUAGUUGGUGGGGUAAAAAGCCUACCAAGCCGACGAUCUUUAGCUGGUCUGAGAGGAUGAUCAGCCACACUGGGACUGAGACACGGCCCAGACUCCUACGGGAGGCAGCAGUGGGGAAUAUUGGACAAUGGGCGAAAGCCUGAUCCAGCAAUGCCGCGUGAGUGAUGAAGGCCUUAGGGUUGUAAAGCUCUUUUACCAGGGAUGAUAAUGACAGUACCUGGAGAAUAAGCUCCGGCUAACUCCGUG
Molecule: ribosomal RNA, 462 nt
Filed under: uncultured bacterium
Lineage: Bacteria
Description: bacterial SSU rRNA
Rfam family: Bacterial small subunit ribosomal RNA
Source: RNAcentral